UCUACGGGGGGCAGCAGUGAGGAAUAUUGGUCAAUGGACGAGAGUCUGAACCAGCCAAGUAGCGUGAAGGAUGACUGCCCUAUGGGUUGUAAACUUCUUUUAUAAAGGAAUAAAACGAGGCACGUGUGCCUUUUUGCAUGUACUUUAUGAAUAAGGAUCGGCUAAGUCAGCUCCAGCAGCCGCGCUAAUACGGAGGAUCCGAGCUUUAAACGGAUUUAAUGGGUUUAAAGGGAGCGUAGAUGGGUUGUUAAGUCAGUUGUGAAAGUUUGCGGCUCAACCGUAAAAUUGCAAUUGAUACUGGCAGUCUUGAGUACAGUUGAGGUAGGCAGAAUUCGUGGUGUAGCGGUGAAAUGCUUAGAUAUCACGAAGAACCCCGAUUGCGAAGGCAGCUUACUAAACUGUGACUGACAUUGAUGCUCGAAAGUGUGGGUAUCAAACAGGAUUAGAUACCCCAGUAGUC
Molecule: ribosomal RNA, 460 nt
Filed under: uncultured bacterium
Lineage: Bacteria
Description: partial 16S ribosomal RNA
Rfam family: Bacterial small subunit ribosomal RNA
Source: RNAcentral